Molecule: small RNA, 972 nt
Filed under: Pongo abelii (Sumatran orangutan)
Lineage: Eukaryota; Metazoa; Chordata; Mammalia; Primates; Hominidae
Description: processed transcript
Source: RNAcentral
GGAAGCCUACACCUCAGUCCUGACUGUAGGGCAGGAAGCUUUGGAAGAGUUUUAUGGAAGAAAAUUGAUUCUUGCUGAUAGAGAAGAAGUGGAACAAGAAGCAGAUAAUAUUUUAAAGGAUGCUGAUAUCAGUGAUGUUGCAUUCCUUGUGGUUGGUGAUCCAUUUGGGGCUACAACACACAGUGAUCUUGUUCUAAGAGCAACAAAGCUGGGAAUUCCUCAUAGAGUUAUUCACAAUGCCUCCAUAAUGAAUGCUGUAGGCUGCUGUGGUUUACAGUUAUAUAAGUUUGGAGAGACCGUUUCUAUUGUUUUUUGGACAGACACUUGGAGACCAGAAAGCUUCUUUGACAAAGUGAAGAAGAACAGACAAAAUGGCAUGCACACAUUAUGUUUACUAGACAUCAAAGUAAAGGAGCAGUCUUUGGAAAAUCUAAUCAAUUACCGAGGAGACACUUUGCGUUGGCUUAGCCAGGGUUGGAGCCGACGACCAGAAAAUUGCAGCAGGCACUUUACAGCAAAUGUGUACUGUGGACUUGGGAGAACCAUUGCAUUCCUUGAUCAUCACAGGAGGCAGCAUACAUCCAAUGGAGAUGGAGAUGCUAAGUCUGUUUUCCAUACCAGAAAAUAGCUCAGAAUCUCAAAGCAUCAAUGGACUUUGAACAUAGAUAUUUACUAUUGUCUGAUGUAAAUUUCAGCCAUAUAUAGAUUGAUAUGGUUUGGCUGUAUCCCCACCCAAGUCUCAUCUUGAAUUUUAAUCCUCAUAAUUCCCAGGUGUUGUGGUAGGUAAUUGAAUCAUGGGGGCAGUUUUCCUCAUGCUAUUCUCAUGAUAGUGAGCUUUCAUGAGAUCUGAUGGUUUUAUAAGCGCCUGGCAUUUCCCCUACUGGCUCUCAUUCUCACUCUUGCCGCGCUGUAAAGAAGUGCCUUCCACCAUGAUUGUUAAGUUUCCUGAGGCCUUCCCAGCCGUGUGGAACU